This 66-nucleotide transfer RNA is filed under the name Aphanius asquamatus. RNAcentral's name for it is "tRNA-Tyr". The record is from RNAcentral. Lineage: Eukaryota; Metazoa; Chordata; Actinopteri; Cyprinodontiformes; Aphaniidae.
UGAGAGGGCUGAGUGUCAAGCGGUGGAUUGUAGUCCCAAAUACAGAGGUUAAAUUCCUGUUUUUAC